Molecule: non-coding RNA, 124 nt
Organism: Callorhinus ursinus (northern fur seal)
Lineage: Eukaryota; Metazoa; Chordata; Mammalia; Carnivora; Otariidae
Source: RefSeq, a predicted model, not a curated record
CUUUGUAUAGUGUUUGCCUUAGCAACCAAUUAUGUUUAGCAAAGGUGAGUUUUCGGCCACCAGCACCAAUCAAAAUUCUUUGUAAACAACACAUACAACACAUCCCCCUUGGGGUGCCUGGGUG